AAGUCCAAUGACAGAUGUAAUUAGCAAAAAGAAAAGUUAUUAUUCGUGUUAAGACAAAAGAAGCUUGUCUAUAUAUAGAGUUGCUCCCAGAUUCUCCACAUAUUCAUUCACUUAUGGGAACGUUUUGAAAGAUCCCAACCUGUUCUCAUUGUCCCAGCUGUUUUAAAUAUUCAAUGUGCCAAACAAAAGGCUGGGAUAAUGAGAAUGGUUGGAUCUUUCAAAUCUACCUAUUAAUGUUGAAGGUGGUCAUUAAGCUACACCGUUUUCACCCUCAGAAUCACUAGUUGGAUUACGGUCAAGAUUCUUGCACUUGAGAUACAGCUCAUUUGUACGUAAGAUAUUACAGUUUUUUAUGCAUGACAAAUAUAUAUGUUUCUAUUUCAUAUGUGUGAGCUACAAUGGUUAGAUAAGGUUUCUCCGGUGAAAUUUGGACUCUCUCGGAUAGAUAGCGAAUAGGUUACUACAUUUGCUGAAAGAAAAUUAGACUGUUUAUUCGAAUUCUGAAGUAAAAAAUCUUAAUAAGCUUCCGGUGACCGCAUUGUCAACUGAUAAAUUUUCUCCUCUUGUUUACAUGUUCAGAGUUCAGACAUGACAUCACCCACACACAGUUGUAGUUACGGUUACGAAUCUGGGUAAGAUAUCGAUAAAAGACCACAAACAGAGACUAAAUUGAUUUAAGUUGGCCCAUUGGUUGGCUAGUGAGGUUUAUGGCUGUUGUACACAAACAAAAUUUUCAGCUUUUCUAAUGAUGCACAUAUUUAGAGGAUGUACAGUUUGGCCUUUUACUAAGUUCAGAUGGGUACCAAGAUUGAUCCUCAAUGUUUCUGUGUGUCCAGUUAAGGAUAUGCCCACUGUUGAUAGUAGAAGACUUUCUCAUUCAUCAGUAACCAACUUGUAAUUGAUUUCUCUAAUUGAAAAUUAUGGUGGAUUUUGAGGAUAUAAUGUAGGAAUCAUGUUAUUAUACUCAGUAUCAGCAGAGUCGGGAAGGAAGGUGCUGCUGCAUUUAGGCGUCUCAAAUCAAAACUGCAAAAGGCAUUGCUUAGCUAUCACGUUUCUACGAGUACAGAUCAGGUCUGUGCCGCCAUUCAGGGUACAAAGCUUCGGAAAAUAUCAUAAAUUACCGGCCAGGUGUUUACAGUCUUCCAAUAGGAUUGGAUUCUUUUAACCCAUAUCAAGAAGCCCACGACGUGUGUCAGUCAUAAGCAAAGCAUGAGUGUUGUGCACAAUUAAGAAUCCUAAGCUUAAAGCAAACUCUGCAUUAGCAUUACCCUUUGUAAACUCCACAUGGAGCUUUGCAGGGGAUAACUGGAAGUUGGAACCGGUCAAGGACUCAAGACCAUCAUUGUACUUCAUUGCUCUAAAAGUCAAAAAGUCUUAAAUCUUUCCCAAGCUCCUGCUCUUCUUUCUUCCUUGCCAUGCUUGUGGAUCUGUCGGAGCAUUUACAAUGGAUUCUUCAUCCCUAUCCCUAUUUUCUUAUUAAAUUUAGUAAUUCCCUAAAAUUAUCUUGAUGAAUUUAAAAAUCUUCUACAUCUCAUUUCCAUCAUGUCUUACCCCAUCCCUAUAUUCAAUUUUAUAUUACUUCUUUCUCUCUCUUUCAUCUAUUAUCUAAUCAAUUACACUUAUAAACAAUAGUAAAAAAUGAAAUGAAAUGGAAUAGGUAAUGAAUAGUAAGUCCCCAAUUAUGGGGUUUUAGUUUUUGUCCCCGAAACUAAACCCCAUUUUAGGGUUUCGGAUGGAGCAACAAUUUAGACUAAAAAUUAAGAAUUUCUCUAAAUUAUAAGGAUAUGGGAAGUAUGGGGAAUCCAAUAGGAAUGCUCUGAGACCUACAAUUUACACAAUCCCCAAAUAGAUAAAUUUUAGCGGCCUCUCUACUUCCUUUUGAAAGCAGACAUAAAAUAUGCGUACAUCUUACUCUCUCCAGCCUGAUGCACGAGCACUCGAGCAAUAUACACUAUUCACAGAUUUUAUAACAAUAGUUGCCGUGACAAACCAUGGCAAAAACAGAGAUUUAUAGACAGUGGUCGUGUACUAGUAACUCAGAGAAAGUUAAAGAAUAAUUCAACUAAAUAAAACAGAACUGAAAGUUUAAAAUCUUUAUAAGAACCACCAUUAUAUGCCCUAAACCAGAAUCUCUGUUAAUAUUAGUGCAAGUUAAUUAUAUUCCUCCAAGAUGUAGGACUCCGGUUCCUACAAAUCAAGCAAUGAAGAAUGUCUGGACCAAGGUAAAUUCAGAAAUCGAUCAAUUAUCGGGAACAUAGCAUGUAAUAAUACAGAAAAUCAGAUGUGAAUCAAUCGUCAGCAAUAUAGCAUGUCAUACAAUUGUUAAAAUUAGUUGUCAGCAACGUAGCAUGCAUGUAAUUUUUAUGGAACCAUUUAUACUUAACUUACAAGAUGCAGGGGACUGGGGAGCAACAACUCUUAAUUAUCUCUCUGAAUAAGUUUAUUAAUUAUGACUUAUUAAAUAUAAAAUAGUAAAUAUAACAAUUUUUUUUAAAGUUUGGUAAACCUUCAAGUGGUACCAAACAAGCAAACGCAUUAGUCUUUAUCACAUAAAUAAUACAAUAUAUAUUCUAAAAUUGUGAAACAUACAAAUAAACUGGGAUCGUAUUUGUGAAUAAGUAGAUGAAGAUCGAAUAAGAAUAACAAAAUUGAAGAAUAUAAAGAGAUACAGAAUAUUUGUCUCCAAAGCCUAGACAAAAAUUUCCGAGAUUACAAUACAACAGCGGUGACACUUUCACCAACAUGCUUCGACACUAUUUGACAUGAGAACUAAUUAAGACGGCUGCAUCUUCUUGGUGUGUCUUUUAUAUAUGAUGAAUAAACUUGUGUACUACACUUCACAUGAUUAAUUUAAACACUUGAAUUAUUUAGUCGGUUGGAAAUUAAAUGAGUGAUCAAAUUGGAUUUAUUAAAAUUAAAUUAAAACAAUACUGGUCCGUAUUUAUAUGACCAACUUACGAGGCAUUUGUAUUCAUAAGUUGCACACUGAAAAAUUCUCUAAAUCUCGCGAAUGCUUGUGAAGCGUCGAAUUUCUUCGUAAAAAGCCCACACAAGCGUCUUGUCUUGUUAAAGUUAUGGAUUUGUGUCACUCAUAUACAUUUUAUUAUUCUUUUGAUGAUUUAGAAUUAUAUACUAUAAUAUUUUUCAAAAUGGAUUAGAAUCGAACUGUACGAAGGAUACGCCCAGUAAGGUGACCAACUUUAAACAAUUAUAUAUCACUGAUUUCUUAAUCAUUUUGAAUAAUUAAAUGUAUUGAAGCAUCACUCAUCCUGACACAACAAUUACCUAUUCUUUUCUUCUUUUUUUUGACACGAACAGUUAUCUAUUCAGCAGAGGGUUCUUAAAAUUCUCUAGAAGUUAGUAUGGUAUGAUUAGCAACUUUCAGACCAAAUCAAAAAAUUCAAACUUGGAAGUAGAUAUCAUAGAAGUUAAAAUAUGAAAUUUUCGUUUACAAAAUUUCAGAAUUAGAUGAUCAAUACAUCUUAAAUUACGUGUUUAAAGUUAACUAGCUUAUUUAAUGAGAUGGAGGGGGUAUUUCACAAAAUUUACAGGGCAUCUUUUGCCUGAUUACGGAAACCUCAAAUUCAGUCAAUAGUCGUCAGUUAUAAUUCCUUAUUAGUUCAUAACUUCGAAUUCAAGGCUUUCUCAGACUUUGUACAUGAAAUGCCUUUAUACUGGUAGUUUAUUCCUCAAUAUUUAUUUAGCUAAAUAUGAUCGAAUUUUUUCGUCCAAAUUACCUGAUACUGUAAUAGUGAAACUCUAUUAUCAAUACUAAAAAAAUUUGCAUUUACCAGCUACCCUUUAGUUAAAAGUAGUUGUUUUUCUGAUUCUAAAUGUUGCAGAUGAUAUGCAGGGUUACACCCUACCUUUGAAUCUAAAGAUAAUAAAUUAGAUAUUUCUGAAAAAAGUCUUAAAUUUAUCAAGAAUCAUAAAAGCCAACAAGGUCAGCAUAUUACUGCACAGCCUGUUAAUGCACAUGACUCUUCUUUUCUGGAACGCAGGGACCAUCCAUCCGAAAAUAGCUAGCUGAUACGAAACCCUAAAAACUGGUUGGUU
This is a long non-coding RNA of Daucus carota subsp. sativus, 4056 nucleotides long. RefSeq lists it as uncharacterized. The transcript has 3 exons. The record is from RefSeq and is a predicted model, not a curated record. Lineage: Eukaryota; Viridiplantae; Streptophyta; Magnoliopsida; Apiales; Apiaceae.